RNAcentral lists this ribosomal RNA (454 nucleotides) under uncultured bacterium. RNAcentral describes it as "partial 16S ribosomal RNA". It matches the Rfam family "Bacterial small subunit ribosomal RNA", at positions 341 to 792 of the family's 1533-position model. The record is from RNAcentral.
ACGGGAGGCAGCAGUGAGGAAUAUUGGUCAAUGGUCGGAAGACUGAACCAGCCAUGCCGCGUGCAGGAAUAAGGCCCUAUGGGUCGUAAACUGCUUUUGUAGUGGAGCAAUAAGGGCUACGCGUAGCCUGAUGAGAGUACAUUACGAAUAAGCAUCGGCUAACUCCGUGCCAGCAGCCGCGGUAAUACGGAGGAUGCAAGCGUUAUCCGGAUUUAUUGGGUUUAAAGGGUGCGUAGGCUGUUUGGCAAGUCAGCGGUGAAAUACCUGGGCUUAACUCAGGAAUUGCCAUUGAUACUGUCAGGCUUGAAUACUGUUGCCGUGGGAGGAAUGAGUAGUGUAGCGGUGAAAUGCAUAGAUAUUACUCAGAACACCGAUUGCGAAGGCAUCUCACGAAGCAGGCAUUGACGCUGAGGCACGAAAGCGUGGGGAUCAAACAGGAUUAGAUACCCUGGUA